Molecule: long non-coding RNA, 2469 nt
Organism: Herpailurus yagouaroundi (jaguarundi)
Lineage: Eukaryota; Metazoa; Chordata; Mammalia; Carnivora; Felidae
Exons: 2
Source: RefSeq, a predicted model, not a curated record
CCGGCUCCCUCAUGCUCUCAAAAUAAAUAUUUAAAAACAACAACAACAACAACAACAACAAAAAACCCUAAAAUAGCUCUCUGCUCCUUAUUUUACUUACUUUACUAUUUACAGUGACACUGAAUCAAAAUACGUAUAGAUUCCUUAACAAGUAUUAAUGAUACUCUCUCUAGCCACCAUUAAUGGAUUUUUUAAAGUUGAACAAUUGUCUGAGCAUUGUACCCCAGAUGAAAGAUUCAGUGACAUUAGUGAUCUGAGAUUCCAUGUCUAAUGAGCCCCCGGCGAUGUUGCUGCCAGCCGGGGCGACACUCUGAGUUACCAAGUGUAGGUUAUUAGUGAUGCACCCAUAGUCUUGAAAUUGGAAGAAAUGCCAUCAAACAUAAAGGUGAAAUUUCCUCCUGUUUAAGAUAAUUGAAUUUUCAAAAGGUACCACAUCUAUGUGUAUGUUUUUAAAAAGUGCGUGGGCUAAAGUUUGGCUUUAUGUUGCUUUUCUUUAAAAAAAAAAAAAAAAAGAAAGAAAGAAAGUAAAGAUUUCUAUUAUGUCCUUUGCACUGUUUAAUGUCCUUCAUCUGUUCCCCUGAAACGGAGCGUUGUCGCCUUAGAAACUUCCUUACAAGACUAUGAAACGUAGGCAGUUCCUUCUCUAUUUCUACGCGGGUAAGAACUCUGGAAGCAGGGCACUAGGCACAGAUAGUCCCAAAUGGCUGCUAAAACUUGGCACAGAACGGAUUUUGAUGUAAACUUGUAUUUAUGAUGACCUGGGAACACCGUUACCCUCCUGCAGCCUCCAUCCCAAAGUACACAAAUAGUGUAAGUAGUCAUUUUUCAGAUCGAUGGACAGAUCCCUAAAUUAUGUGAUGAAAAGUGGCCCCCGGUUGGAGUGUUCUGCUAAGGUUGCAUAGUCUCAGCUGGGAAUAGGAUGGGAUCCCAGAGCCUCGGAAAUGCACCUUCUCCUGCCAGUUUCCUUUAACUAAUUUGCUCCCGUCUCUAGUCUUGGAAUCCGCAGCCCUUGCCCUGUGUCUUGCUAUUGCUCGAGUUCUGUUUUGCUUGUCAUGACUGUGUGGUUCUAGAAAACAUGCCAUUUGUUGACAUCAGUGUUUUCAUGCACGUGUUUCAUAAAUGCAUGGUUUUCUUUUGUCCGGCUAAAUCAUCCCUGGAUAAGUGAGAGUUGGCUUAAGUCCAUUCGACUCACAUACAUACUUCAUGUAUUUUAUCACCUGUGGCUAAAUUGUUUCUCCUUUAUUUCCGUUAAGGAUAUUUAUUAUUUGGUAUAACUUAAACCUGUUUUUAAUGUCAUAUUAAUAAUGACUGACCCACUAACUUUGUAACUUUUUUUUACAUUUUUUAAAAAUUUGCAAUUCUUAAGCUGUCUGUGCUUAAGUGAAUGUUACACAAUGUUUUGGGAUGUACUACAUAGAGUGGCCAGAUCAGGUGGUGGGGAGUAUAGUGACAUGGGGGGGGAAACCCAAAAGAUCAAAUUAACUUGAACAUUGUUCUACUUGGCUCUCGAAUUCUGGAGCUGUAAACUUCAAAAAAUUGUGUAAAUAACAAAGGAUGGUGUAGUAAGUUGAGAGCAAACUUUAGAUCCAUCCCAGGACAAUGGGAUGUUAUGUAGUAAGUUUUACAGAGGUCUUUCUGCGGGGUGAAAACAGAUGUGCCGCAGGAAGAAACUGUACUCGAUGCGAAAGUCAGGAUGCAUCUGAAAAUGCCUGGCUUGUCCUAAAAUUGAUUGCUAAGAUGAUAUUUAAUAUAUGCUCUGUGUAUUCCCUCUAAAUCUAAGAUGUGAGAGACAAGGGCUGUUUGUCCUCACACAGUCUUACGCUAGGAGAGAGAGUUUACAUUACUCAUAUCAGGCUAAUUGGUUUUAGAGGUAAACAGAUUGCACAGAAAUUCCGAAUCAGUUCAUCUGCCAGACGAUCUGUAAGAUGUCAACAUUAGAGUAGCUCCCUGCACCUAAUUCCUAAAGGAGAAUCAGAAAAGUCGUAAUUUGUGACUCUAAUUGUCAGCCCUACUUCCAUUCUCUUUGUCAUUCAUUUUAUCCCACCUGUUGUGCCAUUCUGCUUCCUUUUGGUUUGUUGUGACUAUUUUAUUCAGCAUUUUCCCUUCCUCUGUUCAGCACAUACCAAACUGGUGAGAGCCACAGAGAAGUAAAAUUAAAUUCUCUCUGAGAAGAAGAGAUGAGAGAAAGGUUUGCUUUUAUCGUUAAAAGGAAAACAGAAGUUAGCACCUCAUACAGCACUUACCAGGAUAAAUCCACUUCGCCAGAAGAGUCCACGCAGUAAACGGUUUCCACACAGUGCAUCUUCUGAUUCUUUUAGAAUGUUGACAUCGAUGGUAAAUUCAUACAGCCUCUAUGGAAAACAUACACGCCUUCCUCAAAAAACUAAAAACCAAACCAACAAAUGAUUUAGCAGUUCCACUUGCUGGCAUAUAUCCAAAGGAAACAAACAAACAAACAAAAACACUGCA